This 549-nucleotide ribosomal RNA is filed under the name Triticum aestivum (bread wheat). RNAcentral describes it as "partial small subunit ribosomal RNA". The record is from RNAcentral. Lineage: Eukaryota; Viridiplantae; Streptophyta; Magnoliopsida; Poales; Poaceae.
AUGGAAAGCUUGCUGCAUUGGGAUUUUGCCCUGGGCCUUGCCCUUGCAGACCAGGUGAGAAGGAUAUUUGGGUCCACUGUUCAUUUCUCUCCUUCCCGAGAUGCCAAAGAGUUCUUUUUGGUCGUUUCCUUCUCCUCGGCCUCCUUUCCUCUUGAUGUUGAAACAGUGGGGAUUGCCUUGCAAUGCUGUCUUGGAGGGAUUUCUUCUGGUUUCAGGGUGUCUCAGAUUAAUGCCCGGUCCUUUCACUUCUCUGUGGCUAAUAAUAAAGUGGGACAUUUUGUCUAUGGUCUCAAAGACCGUAUUUGGCCUGACUUUGUUUGCCAUUUCCAUCUGUUCAAUGGACGUUUUGCUAAAGCUCAUUCUAUUGAUCGCCAUUGGCAUGCUGAUACUGAGUUGGUUGAAAUCGUGGACCGAAAACCCAUUGCUCUAAAAUCCUCUCUGAAGUUUCUUACUCCCAAAGGAGACUUGGAUCAUUCUUCUAUGAAAGUUCUUAGCAAAUUUGGGCUUAUUAAGAUGGAUAACUGGAAUUUUUCCAAAAAAAUGCCAUGA